GACGAACGCUGGCGGCGUGCCUAAUACAUGCAAGUCGAGCGAAGUUUUUCUGGUGCUUGCACUAGAAAAACUUAGCGGCGAACGGGUGAGUAACACGUAAAGAACCUGCCUCAUAGACUGGGACAACUAUUGGAAACGAUAGCUAAUACCGGAUAACAGUAUUUCUCGCAUGAGAGAUAUUUAAAAGUUGGUUAUGCUAACACUAUGAGAUGGCUUUGCGGUGCAUUAGCUAGUUGGUGGGGUAAAGGCCCACCAAGGCGACGAUGCAUAGCCGACCUGAGAGGGUGAUCGGCCACACUGGGACUGAGACACGGCCCAGAACCCUACGGGAGGCAGCAGUAGGGAAUCUUCCGCAAUGGGCGAAAGCCUGACGGAGCAACGCCGCGUGAGUGAAGAAGGAUUUCGGUUCGUAAAGCUCUGUUGUUAGGGAAGAAUGGAUAUGUAGUAACUAUACAUGUAAGAGACGGUACCUAACCAGAAAGCCACGGCUAACUACGUG
This 499-nucleotide ribosomal RNA is filed under the name uncultured bacterium. RNAcentral describes it as "partial 16S ribosomal RNA". It matches the Rfam family "Bacterial small subunit ribosomal RNA", at positions 28 to 507 of the family's 1533-position model. The record is from RNAcentral.